This 4837-nucleotide long non-coding RNA is filed under the name Gossypium barbadense (sea-island cotton). RNAcentral's name for it is "long non-coding RNA (GBAR_LNC020328)". Lineage: Eukaryota; Viridiplantae; Streptophyta; Magnoliopsida; Malvales; Malvaceae. The record is from RNAcentral.
CCCAACUAAUACAAACCUAAUCACUAGCCAAAAAUAAUCAAAUAUAGCUGACCAAUCAGCCAUUACAUCAAAAGAUCUUAUCACUAACUUAAGUUUAACUAGUAUUACAAACAAACUAAAAUUGAACCGAACCAAAUUACAUCAAAACAAAACAGCAAAGUUGGUUGCUUCAUUCGGUUCAAAAACCAUUCGUGCGCACCAAGCAAAAUGAGCUGAGCUCGAUAGCUGCUGGUCUCGACAGUAGCAAGCUUCUGGCUCCAUGUUGCAUUGCAGUCCAGCUUUCAACACUCCUCCUUGGACUGUAUGCAACACAUUCCAAUUGCACUUCUCAAAGAUUCAAAUCGAGCAGCCCCUAAGGGCUUGGUCAUUAUGUCAGCCAAUUGUGCUCCUGAGCUGCAAUGCACAAGGCUGACUUCCUUUGCUUGUUCAGCCUCUCUAACAAAAUGCAGUUUGAUUUUAAAAUGCUUAGUCUUACCAUGGAACACAGGGUUCUUGGCUAUUGCAACUGCAGACUGAUUAUCCACCCAAAUUUCAGUUGCUUCAUCUUGAGUUUCAUUAAGGUCGUAAAGCAGCUUCCUUAGCCAAAUGGCCUGAUUAACUGCUCCUGCUGCAACAAUGUACUCUGCUUCAGCUGUGGACUGAGCAACAGUUUGUUGCUUCUUUGAACUCCAGCAAAACAUGCCCGAUCCAAGUGUGAAGAAGUAUCCAGAGGUACUCUUCAUGUCAUCAAGAGAUCCUGCCCAGUCACUGUCAGAGUAGCCUUCUAGUUUCAGUUGGUUCCGACUUUCAAACAUUACACCAAAACUAGCAGUGCCCUUGAUGUAUCUAAGGACCCUCUUUGCUGCCUUCAAAUGUGCCUCAUUGCAACAAUGCAUAAAUCUCGAUAACAGGCUGACACCAAACAUGAUGUCUGGCCUGGUUGCUGUUAGAUACAACAGACAACCAACUAGGCUUCGAUAGUGCCUCUCAUCAACCCUCUGAUGAUCACCACUGCUAGUCAGCUUUUCUCCUUGAGCCACAGGUGUGCUGACUGCUUUACAGUUAUGCAUGCAAAAUUUGUCUAGGAUCUUCAAAGCAAAUGAGUGUUGGCUGAUGAAGAUACCUCGAUCAGACUGGUGCACUUCCAUGCCAAGGAAGUAAGUCAUGAUCCCCAAAUCUGUCAUCUCAAAUACUUGCUGCAUUUGGACCUUGAACUGAUCAAUGAGCUCAAUUUUGCUCCCUGUCACAAGCAAAUCAUCCACAUACAAGGAGACAAUCAGCAAGGUUUCAUGUUCUGACCUUUUGACAUACAGAGUAGGCUCACUAAGGCUCUUUACAAAUCCAAGUUUGGUCAAGUAAGCAUCAACUCUGUCAUACCAGGCCCUUGGUGCCUGUUUCAGGCCAUAGAGGGCCUUUUUCAACUUAUACACUUUGUCUUCAUGUCCAACAACUUCAAAACCUUCAGGUUGCUCGAUGAAGAUCUCCUCCUUGAGAAAACCAUUCAGGAAUGCUGAUUUGACAUCCAAUUGGUGAACUCUCCACUGCUUCUGAGCUGCUAAAGCAAACAGCAGCUUAAUUGUAUCCAGUCUUGCCACUGGAGCAAAAGUUUCUAGGUAGUCAACACCAUACUGCUGACUGUAGCCCUUCACCACAAGCCUGGCCUUGUGCUUGUUCAGUGAGCCAUCAGCAUUGUACUUGGCCCGGUAAGCCCAUUUAACUCCUAUGACCCUCUUGUGUUCUGGUCUGCUCACCAACUCCCAAGUCUGAUUUUUGUUGAUCAUUUCCAACUCAGCUUCCAUAGCUUUCAUCCAGCUUCUGUUCUUAGCAGCCUCUUCAAAGUCUGAGGGCUCAAUCACAGCAACAUUGCACCUCUGAUAGACAUCAGCUAAAGUUCUGGUGCCCCUCACUGGUAUAUCAUCGACAGCAUCAUUACUUGGUCCUUCUUCUGCAGGUUCAGCAACCAAGUCUAACUGGUCCAAUUCAGACAAGUCAGCCUCAACACCAUUCCAAUUCCACACCUUUUCCUCAUCAAACUUUACAUCCCUGCUGACUAAAACCUUCUUUGCUGUAGGAUCAUACACUCUAUAUCCCUUCUUGUUGCUGCUGUAGCCAACAAAGAUUCCUGGAGUUGCUCUGCUCUCAAGCUUGGUCCUUUUCUCUACUGGAAUAAGUGCAUAACAUACACAGCCAAACACCUUUAAGUGUGUUACCACAGGUUUGACUCCAUGCCAAGCCUCAAAAGGAGUCUUAUCCUUAACUGCUCUAGUUGGCAGUCUGUUGAACAGAUACACUGAGGUGUUGACUGCCUCAGCCCAAAACUGACUUGGAAGCUUGCCUUGAAACAAGAGGCACCUGGCCAUGUUCAGUACAGUCCUAUUCUUUCUCUCACAGACUCCAUUCUGUUGAGGAGUAUAGACUGUUGUAAGCUGAUGGUGAAUCCCAGCACUGUCACAAAGCUUCUGAAAUCUCUCAGACACAUAUUCAGAGCCAUUAUCAGUCCUCAAGGCUCUAAUUUUGUAGCCUGACUGAUUUUCAGCAUAAGCCUUGAAUUUGCAGAAGGCUUCAAACACUUCUGACUUUUGCUUCAAGAAGUAGACCCAGCACAACCUUGUUAGAUCAUCUAUAAACAGGGCAAAGUACCUGUUCUCACUGAUUGAAGGUGUUCUCAUAGGGCCACAAACAUCAGAGUGCACCAAUUCGAGCUUGUUUUGAGCUCUCCAAGCACUGUCAGCAGAAAAAGGCAGUCUAGCCUGCUUACCAAGCUGACAAACCUCACAAACAUUCCCACUAACUUCAAUUUUUGAAAUGUCAUCAACCAAAUUCAGCCUAUGUAACAGAUCGAUGGAUCUAAAAUUUGCAUGGCCUAGUCUUCUAUGCCACAAGUCAGUGCUUUCAACAAGGCUGGUGUAUGCCUUUCUUUCUAUUUGGCUAACAUCCAGCAUGAAGCACCUAUCAGUCAUAGAGACUGUGACUAACUCCAGACCAUUCAUGUCUUGAACAAUACAGCAACCAUCCUUAAAAACCAAUGUAUAGCCCUUUUCAACUAAUUGGCCUACACUAAGCAAAUUCUGGUCUAAGUCAGGUACAAAAAACACAUCUGAGAUCAGCUUGUUACCUGAACCAGUGCUAAUCAACACACUGCCCUUGCCUUUAGCCUCAAUCAGCCUACCAUCUCCAAUUCUAAUCCUCGAGUGGAAGCUUCUGUCUAGGCCUUUGAACAGCUUCUCAUCUGCUGCCAUAUGGUGUGAGCAGCCACUGUCUAGUAGCCAAUCAUUGCUGGCCUUGGUUGUGCCAACAAAACAAGUUGCUGUGAACACUUGCUCCUCCUGAGCUUGAAUGUCCUCAGCAGGUCUAGCUUGUUGCAGAGCAGCCUCCCUUGGUUUGCCCUUGCACACCUUCUCCACAUGGCCAAACUGCUUGCAUUUUCUACACUGAAUAUCUGGCCUAAACCAGCAAUACUUUUCUGAAUGUGUUGUCUUCUUGCAAUGAACACAUGGUGGGAACACCCUUUUUGCUUCAUCUCUUCCUGACUUGACCCUUCUAUUGUGCCAAGGCUUCUUGCCUUUUGCACUCACACUCGAGCCUUCACUGGCUUUAGCCUGGAAAGCAGCUUCUGGAUUCUCCUCCUGCCUAUUUGCCCUCCUUUGCUCAAGUGCAUAUAGGGAGUUUAUCAGCUCAGACAAUGAAAUGGCUGAUAAGUCCCUCGAGUCCUCAAGUGAAGAGAUUUUAGACUCAAAUUUCUCAGGGAGAGUUGUUAUAACCUUUUCAACAACUCUGCUCUCUAUGAAGUCCACUCCCAGGAGCCUAAUGCUGUUGACAAUGGCCAUUAUCCUGUCUGAGUACUGCUUGAUGGUCUCAGACUCCUUCAUCCUCAAAUUUUCAAAGUCUCUCCUGAUGUUGAUCACUUGCUGUUGCCUUGUCUUAUCAGUCCCCAUGAACUCCUCCUUCAGCUUCUCCCAAGCCUGCUUUGGUGAGUCACAGGCCAUGAUGCGAGUAAAUAUCACAUCAGAGACUCCAUUUUGCAAGCAGGCCAUAGCCUUAUGCUUCUUGGCUCGCUCCUCAGUAUGUUGCCUCAUCUGUGCAAUGGUGGGAUUGGCUCUCAAUGGAGGUGGUUCAGCAUCAUUCUCGAUCACACUCCAAAGAUCAUGUGCCUGGAGAUAAGUCUUCAUUUUAACUAUCCAAAUGUGAUAGUUUUCUCCAGUGAACACUGGUGGAGGUGGUGGAGUGAAACUCAUUCUGCUAAACUGAUUUUAAGUGCUUCAAUCUUACCAAAUUUUGAACUUGCUGUUGGUUUUGAUUCGAACACAACAGAUUGCAUACAAAGGCCCCUCAAAGACUCGGGCUCAUGAUACCAUUUGUUGGAACAAUGGCAGCAGCAAACAUCAAACAAAGUUACAACACAGUGUUUGCAAGACUGAAGCAAGAAGAAUCGAAGCAAAGAAAGAGCAAAGCAAAGCAAAAAUUUGAUCAAAAUUGAAUACUCAGCAAAGUUGUAACUGAACAUCACUCAUUUUUCAUUCAAAUUUGAAAUAUAAAAGAGUUACAAUGUACAUUGACAGUUACCUAAUGUAUUUAACUGCCCCAACUAAUACAAACCUAAUCACUAGCCAAAAAUAAUCAAAUAUAGCUGACCAAUCAGCCAUUACAUCAAAAGAUCUUAUCACUAACUUAAGUUUAACUAGUAUUACAAACAAACUAAAAUUGAACCGAACCAAAUUACAUCAAAACAAAACAGCAAAGUUGGUUGCUUCAUUCGGUUCAAAAACCAUUCGUGCGCACCAAGCAAAAUGAGCUGAGCUCGAUAGCUGCUGGUCUCGACAGUAGCAAGCUUCUGGCUCCAUGUUGCAUUGCAGUCCAG